UACAGAGGUCCCGAGCGUUGUUCGGAUUCACUGGGCGUAAAGGGUGCGUAGGUGGCUUGAAAAGUUUGAUGUGAAAGCUCAGGGCUUAACCCUGAAAUGGCAUUGAAUACUGUCGGGCUGGAGGUUUGGAGGGGGGACUGGAAUUCUUGGUGUAGCAGUGAAAUGCGUAGAUAUCAAGAGGAACGCCAGUGGCGAAGGCGAGUCCCUGGACAACACCUGACACUGAGGCACGAAAGCUAGGGGAGCAAACAGG
Molecule: ribosomal RNA, 253 nt
Filed under: uncultured bacterium
Lineage: Bacteria
Description: partial 16S ribosomal RNA
Rfam family: Bacterial small subunit ribosomal RNA
Source: RNAcentral